This 387-nucleotide ribosomal RNA is filed under the name uncultured bacterium. RNAcentral's name for it is "bacterial SSU rRNA". It matches the Rfam family "Bacterial small subunit ribosomal RNA", at positions 138 to 520 of the family's 1533-position model. The record is from RNAcentral.
GGGGGAUAACGUUCGGAAACGGACGCUAAUACCGCAUACGUCCUACGGGAGAAAGCAGGGGACCUUCGGGCCUUGCGCUAUCAGAUGAGCCUAGGUCGGAUUAGCUAGUUGGUGAGGUAAUGGCUCACCAAGGCUACGAUCCGUAACUGGUCUGAGAGGAUGAUCAGUCACACUGGAACUGAGACACGGUCCAGACUCCUACGGGAGGCAGCAGUGGGGAAUAUUGGACAAUGGGCGAAAGCCUGAUCCAGCCAUGCCGCGUGUGUGAAGAAGGUCUUCGGAUUGUAAAGCACUUUAAGUUGGGAGGAAGGGCAGUUACCUAAUACGUGACUGUCUUGACGUUACCGACAGAAUAAGCACCGGCUAACUCUGUGCCAGCAGCCGCGG